This is a long non-coding RNA of Vulpes vulpes (red fox), 2309 nucleotides long. NCBI's taxonomy places the organism in Eukaryota, Metazoa, Chordata, Mammalia, Carnivora, Canidae. The record is from Ensembl.
AUACGUAAAAGUUCACCAUCUUCCAGGGUGGCCAGAGCCAAAAACAAACACUCAGGCCCUGACCCAAAGUCCAUUCUCGAGUCUGUCUCAGACUAUGAGCUCUUUAAGGAGGCAGAUGGGGCCACUGCCAGCACAGGGCCAGAUGUAAAUAGUUUAAAAGUGACUGAGAAGAGAAGGAGGAAGACAAGGGAAGAGAAAGAACAAAGAUGUGAAGAGGAAGAAGGAAAGUGCACCUUUAUUCUAGCCUGUGUGCCUCUGUCUGUCCACGCUAAACCUUUGGGAAGUUGCUCUUUGACCACUCUGAACCUAAUUGCUCUCUCCCUUCCCUGGCUUCACCAUCUGGCCCCCACCACCUCAGCAGAGAAUUGCCUGUGUCCCCACCAUGGGCUUGGACUCCCAGCCUGCUGCCACUGUGGUUAUUUGCUGCCUGUGCCUCAGCUCUCGUCUGCUAGUUGCUUCUUCCUUCUCCCCUCUGUGGUCAUCAGCCCUUGCUGCAGUUUUUAUUCAUUGGGUGAUGGGGUAGCCAGGGGCUGAGGCACUCUGGUAGCUCCUGCAGAGGAAGGAGAAGUCCAGGGCACAUUCCAACCCUGCCGGUGCUGGCGCAGCCCCUCAGUGGUGUAAAAUCUCACGCCUGGAGCCCUGUGAGCUCCUGGUGCCAGCUGCAAUUUUAUUGGUGGUCUGUGACUUCAAAGGCCUCUCCCCCUGCAUGGCUGAAGCAGCAGGCUGCAGAGCAGAAGGCCUGUGCCCAUGGCACCAGGGAAUUCCCCUGGAUCUGGACCCAGCCUCUCUGUAGGCUGCCCUGCCUCUUUCUUUUAUAGUCACAAAGUCAGUCUGUGACCACAGCAGAUGGAGAGGAACCACUUGUAUAGGAGACUGCUUUCAAGGACCUGUAUGCCCCAGUCUGUAGGCAAGACACUUCUACCAAACAUCUAUUCAAUGUCCCAACAUUCCUUCCUAUAGAAACUCCUUCAGCAUCAAGGUGGGAGGCUAGGCUGUGGUCUGGGUGAUCCUAGGCAUCCGCCUGACUUUUCUGUGCCUUGUCUAUCAGGGGAGUGGGAGUUGAUACCAAGGCCUGGCUGACUGCCUCACCACUCUUUGGAGGCUUAGAAAUGUCAAGUGUGGGAGAACAGGCAGGAAAUCUCCCUGUGGCAGGGACUGCUCCGUCCACACUGCUGGCAUCCCUCUCUGGUAGAGAGAAACUCAAUCGAGUCUUUAAGACAUACUCUGGCUUUGAGUCUCAACUGUGACAUGUCCUAACUGGGCUACCUUGGAGAGUUACCCACCCCCUCUGUGCCUCAGUUUCCUCAUAGGGAUUAGUUGAUACUGAUGAAACACUGGACCAGUCACUGGCACUUGGUGGGUGAUGCAGACAUGCUUGCUAAUUCUUUCUAGUAACAAAUAGGAGCAAUAGGAGCCUCAUGUUGCUUGUUUAUUCCACAUGAAUAGGUUUGUCUGUCGAUGAGGUGACAAGCUUCCAGUUUUCUUGCCUUCUUCUCCCCACAACACACAUGGACACACAGACAUAUGCCAGCCUGGUAUGGUAUCAAAAGCAGUGCGGAGGUGAGACCCUGCUAAGUUAGCUUAGGGAAGUCAUGAAGUCCCUGCAGAAUCAGCCUACUCACUUUUAAAGAGGGGCUAAGGGUAACCUGCUUCCCAGAGCAAGAUCAAAUUCACAUGAAAUUUAAGUAAAGCUACCAGUAAACAUCAGUGAAGCUCAGUGCUCUGCCUAUGGUAGGCAUUUAAUGAAUGUUCUAGUUCUCUCCUGGCUGGGCGCAUGAUGGCUCAAAAGACACUUGAGGGUGAAGAAUAUGUUUAAGCUGGGAAGUCAAGGGCCUCACCCUCUACCACAGGCCACACCUCCCAGAGGGGCCACACUUAUGAGGCCCUCCGAUGGACCAGGAGGGGUGAAGCCCUCAGGGGCAAGGACUGCAUCUUCUCCCUCGCACUUGCCAGCAGCUGGUCCAGCUCGGUACAAACAACGUGAGACACGAGCCCAGCAACAGUGACCCUGGCUGUCUGAAAUCCUGUCCAGAAGGAAAUUAUUGAGAGAGAACUGAAGAAAGCAAAGCUGCUCUCAGACACAUUCCCAAUCUUGCCGGAGAUGGAAACUAACAGGGAUGGAAACAUGACAGCAGAAAAAUACAGACCAUUUUGAAGUCUGCCCACCUGGGAGUCAAGCCACAUUGAAAAUCAAUAAGGCACCAAGGCCGGGAGCUCGGGAGCCGACUGGAUACCUGCUUGUGCCUCCUUUAAAGCAGGGAAAGCUUUGAAGUUGCAGACGACCAAUAAAAAUACAGCUGGCAUUUACA